CCUACGGGAGGCUGCAGUGGGGAAUAUUGGACAAUGGGGGGAACCCUGAUCCAGCCAUGCCGCGUGUGUGAAGAAGGCCCUCGGGUUGUAAAGCACUUUCAGUGAGGAAGAACGCCUGGUGGUUAAUACCCAUCAGGAAAGACAUCACUCACAGAAGAAGCACCGGCUAACUCCGUGCCAGCAGCCGCGGUAAUACGGAGGGUGCGAGCGUUAAUCGGAAUUACUGGGCGUAAAGCGCGCGUAGGUGGCUUGAUAAGCCGGUUGUGAAAGCCCCGGGCUCAACCUGGGAACGGCAUCCGGAACUGUCCAGCUAGAGUGCAGGAGAGGAAGGUAGAAUUCCCGGUGUAGCGGUGAAAUGCGUAGAGAUCGGGAGGAAUACCAGUGGCGAAGGCGGCCUUCUGGACUGACACUGACACUGAGGUGCGAAAGCGUGGGUAGCAAACAGGAUUAGAUACCCCUGUAGUC
RNAcentral lists this ribosomal RNA (465 nucleotides) under Vreelandella stevensii. RNAcentral describes it as "partial 16S ribosomal RNA". It matches the Rfam family "Bacterial small subunit ribosomal RNA", at positions 338 to 795 of the family's 1533-position model. Lineage: Bacteria; Pseudomonadati; Pseudomonadota; Gammaproteobacteria; Oceanospirillales; Halomonadaceae. The record is from RNAcentral.